This is a long non-coding RNA of Arabidopsis lyrata subsp. lyrata, 1570 nucleotides long. RefSeq lists it as uncharacterized. The transcript has 3 exons. NCBI's taxonomy places the organism in Eukaryota, Viridiplantae, Streptophyta, Magnoliopsida, Brassicales, Brassicaceae. The record is from RefSeq and is a predicted model, not a curated record.
AAAGUAAUCCAUUUAUUAAACUUUAAAAUAUACAUGUCCUCUGCAGAAUUUUUAGCAUCUUAAAUAUUAAAAAUGAUUAGUGAAAAAUACAUAUGUACAAUUGGGGCAGAGUUUUAUUUCAGUACAACAAUCUUUCAGUUGUGAACGAGUUUUAGUGUUUUGACCAAAAACAAAAACGAGUUUUAGUGACAUAUAUAUAAGUUAUGUUUGGUAAUAUUUUUUUCAAUAUUGUUGCGACAUCGUUUCAUCGACGAGUAUAUAUCUAUGAAUUAAUUUUUCUGAAAUGUUUAUUUCUCUCCACCGCAGCAUAAAUGUUUGAAAGAAUGGAAACGGUGGUAGUCACAUUAGAAGAGGACCACUUUGACUAAAGCUAGCUACAACUCUCAACUAUCUUUCAUCUUCCAAAUAAUCAAUAUUAGCAGAGAUUAUGAUCCACUAACUAAAUGAUAACAGUCUGAGAGAAGUGAAUGUUGAUUGAUCACUAUCAAUUAACUAAUCACUAGCUAUUGCAGCGAGAACGAGGAAAUUUUAGCAAACCUCCUUAGUCCCAAUGAACUAAUAAAGUUAUAUAUAUAUCAUAUAACAACCAAGAAGGAAUUAAACAACAUUUUCAACUUAUAAUUAAUAAAGCAAUAUUGCUAAAGCACAAGCUCUGAUACAUGCUGUGCAACGUCUCUCGAAGCUAGAUUACAACAUGUGCUUCUAAAUAGUCAGAUAGAUUACCACAAAGCAACUUUUUAACAUGUUUACACGAACCAAAAGAUGCAUACACAUAGCCUUGGGGUUUUUUUUUUUUAAUGAUAAUUCACAUAGCCUUGUUAUCCCUUAGAUUAUACAUCUUAGACAUCCUUACGCAUUCUAUUUUUUAACUUUAUCCCUAAAUGCUUAAAAUGAUAGUAUACGUAUAUUGACUGUAUGGUUAAGCAAUAUUCUAGGAUAGUGGGUGAGUUUCUCCUGGUUUUUUGGAAUGUAUUCUCUAUUGUACAAUGAAAACGAAUGUAAAUAUUUCGUUUUGUUUUUGUUGCCCACAUUUUAUUGCCGUAAAUUGCAAAAUAUUUAAAAAAAUUUAGUUUGCUUAAGGAAAAAAGAGUUAAGAGGAUGGUGGAAGGAAACAGAGAGAAGAAGGCUUCGAUGGUUGUCGGGACGUGGAGAGGAUCUCACGUGGCAAUUUCACUCUGAUUGGGUCCUAAACCGCCGGCCCACGUGGCAUGCCACUUGUCACUGACUGAAGUCUUGUUCCUAUUUGUAACGGAUUUAUGGGUUUACAAAAGACAUACCUUAUGUUGUACUAAUUCACACAACACAGAGAAACAAGAACCACAAAAGCACGAUCAUUUUCGGACUUAGAUUAUGAAGUUUUGACAAGUUUAAUUCACGAACAAGGGAACGAUCGAUAUGACGUCAUACUUGGUGUGUCUUGACACUGAAGAGGUAAAAGCUUAAUUUCUAAGUUUGUUUCUGUAUAUAAAGCAAGAUAGCAACUACAAAUGCCGAAAUUUUUUUUAUUUUUUUUGCUAAACUUGUAAAUAUCAUAUAUACGAAAGAUAGGUGUUACAUCUUAAGACCUAAA